Long non-coding RNA from Uranotaenia lowii, 394 nucleotides. RefSeq lists it as uncharacterized. The record is from RefSeq and is a predicted model, not a curated record. The transcript has 3 exons. NCBI's taxonomy places the organism in Eukaryota, Metazoa, Arthropoda, Insecta, Diptera, Culicidae.
CGUCGGUGGCAACGAUGCUCGAGAACGAUUUACACGAGAGAAUCCACCACAAAGAAGAGUUCCCCUUUGGAUUGUGAUUCGGCUGCAUUCGAUCGGAUCAGCUGCAAGUUCUAGGCCCGUUAAUAUGCUUGGAUCCAAUGGAUGGUCGGUAUGCCUCUCCUGCAAUGACUGGAGGACCAAGGUAUUCAAAGAAAGGCCGUAGAUGGCAAACAUAGUGGUCCUCAAAUGCAGCUACAGAAACAACAACAAUAGAUGCAAUGGCGACUUGCAGUAACUGUUGGAAAUAUCUCGCAACCAACACCCCCGUAACAACAACGCCCCAGGCCUCAGUCACAGUUUAUUUUAAAUAUUUUAGUGGAGUGUUUAGUGUGUGGUUACAGGAUCAUGCGAUUAA